AGACCCGAAACCCGGUGAUCUAGCCAUGGGCAGGUUGAAGGUUGGGUAACACUAACUGGAGGACCGAACCGACUAAUGUUGAAAAAUUAGCGGAUGACCUGUGGCUGGGGGUGAAAGGCCAAUCAAACCGGGAGAUAGCUGGUUCUCCCCGAAAGCUAUUUAGGUAGCGCCUCGUGAAUUCAUCUCCGGGGGUAGAGCACUGUUUCGGCUAGGGGGCCAUCCCGGCUUACCAACCCGAUGCAAACUGCGAAUACCGGAGAAUGUUAUCACGGGAGACACACGGCGGGUGCUAACGUCCGUCGUGAAGAGGGAAACAACCCAGACCGCCAGCUAAGGUCCCAAAGUCAUGGUUAAGUGGGAAACGAUGUGGGAAGGCCCAGACAGCCAGGAUGUUGGCUUAGAAGCAGCCAUCAUUUAAAGAAAGCGUAAUAGCUCACUGGUCGAGUCGGCCUGCGCGGAAGAUGUAACGGGGCUAAACCAUGCACCGAAGCUGCGGCAGCGAACGUAUCACUUAAAGCGAUUCAGCGGGUUACGAUUGACGGAGCGAAGCGACGUCAAAGCGUAUACAAAGUCGAGUCGGUUUAAGGAUACGUUCGUUGGGUAGGGGAGCGUUCUGUAAGCCUGUGAAGGUGGCCUGUGAGGGUUGCUGGAGGUAUCAGAAGUGCGAAUGCUGACAUAAGUAACGAUAAAGCGGGUGAAAAGCCCGCUCGCCGGAAGACCAAGGGUUCCUGUCCAACGUUAAUCGGGGCAGGGUGAGUCGACCCCUAAGGCGAGGCCGAAAGGCGUAGUCGAUGGGAAACGGGUUAAUAUUCCCGUACUUGGUGUUACUGCGAAGGGGGGACGGAGAAGGCUAUGUUGGCCGGGCGACGGUUGUCCCGGUUUAAGCGUGUAGGUGUGUGUUCCAGGUAAAUCCGGUUCACUUUAACACUGAGGCGUGACGACGAGGCACUACGGUGCUGAAGCAACAAAUGCCCUGCUUCCAGGAAAAGCCUCUAAGCAUCAGGUAACAUCAAAUCGUACCCCAAACCGACACAGGUGGUCAGGUAGAGAAUACCAAGGCGCUUGAGAGAACUCGGGUGAAGGAACUAGGCAAAAUGGUGCCGUAACUUCGGGAGAAGGCACGCUGACACGUAGGUGAAGUGAUUUACUCAUGGAGCUGAAGUCAGUCGAAGAUACCAGCUGGCUGCAACUGUUUAUUAAAAACACAGCACUGUGCAAACACGAAAGUGGACGUAUACGGUGUGACGCCUGCCCGGUGCCGGAAGGUUAAUUGAUGGGGUCAGCGCAAGCGAAGCUCCUGAUCGAAGCCCCGGUAAACGGCGGCCGUAACUAUAACGGUCCUAAGGUAGCGAAAUUCCUUGUCGGGUAAGUUCCGACCUGCACGAAUGGCGUAAUGAUGGCCAGGCUGUCUCCACCCGAGACUCAGUGAAAUUGAACUCGCUGUGAAGAUGCAGUGUACCCGCGGCAAGACGGAAAGACCCCGUGAACCUUUACUAUAGCUUGACACUGAACAUUGAGCCUUGAUGUGUAGGAUAGGUGGGAGGCUUUGAAGUGUGGACGCCAGUCUGCAUGGAGCCGACCUUGAAAUACCACCCUUUAAUGUUUGAUGUUCUAACGUGGACCCGUUA
Molecule: ribosomal RNA, 1628 nt
Filed under: Salmonella enterica subsp. enterica serovar Senftenberg
Lineage: Bacteria; Pseudomonadati; Pseudomonadota; Gammaproteobacteria; Enterobacterales; Enterobacteriaceae
Description: partial 23S ribosomal RNA
Rfam family: Bacterial large subunit ribosomal RNA
Source: RNAcentral